ACAGGUGACUGCUGAGCUUUACCUGCCGUUUUAUGGGUCAGCAACCGUCCCUCUACCUUCCUUUCCUUCAUCUUCCAGGCGCUCCCCCCCUGACCCCAAGAGUGCUUAGUACAAGGAGUAUGGUUCAUCUGAAGUUCUACCAAGAUGAAAGCCAAUAGAAAUAAAUGUAGAGUUCUAGCUGGGUUUAAGAAAAACAAAAUCCAGUAUGAUAUGUUCAGACAACAACCCCUGUGAUAAAGAUCUGGGAGUUUUAAGGUACAGCAAGUUGGGAAGGAACUAGAAGGAGGAUGGUUAGCAAUACUACAGUCAAAAAAAACAAAAGGAGGACCACUGAAAUGUGAAAAAAAAAAUCCACAGAAGAGAACAGAAGGAGAUUCAGAAGGAAGCACAGAAAAGCAAGACAGUUUUGAAAACGUGUGGAACUUAUUAUAUACUUAUGAAAUACAGUUUCAAGGUUUUGUAUACAAUUUCUUUUUGUGUUUUGCUGGAUAUAUGGGAUGCUCUUUUUUUGGUGUUUAAAUUCAAAGUAAAAAGAAAAAAAACUAUUCCAGAUGGAAUAAAGUUUUAAUUGGAGGGCAUCUCACUAGUCGAAAUAAGA
Long non-coding RNA from Dromiciops gliroides (monito del monte), 598 nucleotides. RefSeq lists it as uncharacterized. The record is from RefSeq and is a predicted model, not a curated record. NCBI's taxonomy places the organism in Eukaryota, Metazoa, Chordata, Mammalia, Microbiotheria, Microbiotheriidae. The transcript is spliced from 3 exons.